GAUGAACGCUGGCGGCGUGCCUAAUACAUGCAAGUCGAGCGAACAGAUGAGAAGCUUGCUUCUCUGAUGUUAGCGGCGGACGGGUGAGUAACACGUGGGUAACCUACCUAUAAGACUAGGAUAACUCCGGGAAACCGGGGCUAAAACCGGAUAAUAUUUUGAACCGCAUGGUUCGAUAGUGAAAGACGGUUUCGGCUGUCACUUAUAGAUGGACCCGCGCCGUAUUAGCUAGUUGGUAAGGUAACGGCUUACCAAGGCGACGAUACGUAGCCGACCUGAGAGGGUGAUCGGCCACACUGGAACUGAGACACGGUCCAGACUCCUACGGGAGGCAGCAGUAGGGAAUCUUCCGCAAUGGGCGAAAGCCUGACGGAGCAACGCCGCGUGAGUGAUGAAGGUCUUCGGAUCGUAAAACUCUGUUGUUAGGGAAGAACAAAUUUGUUAGUAACUGAACAAGUCUUGACGGUACCUAACCAGAAAGCCACGGCUAACUACGUGCCAGCCGCCGCUGUAA
This 514-nucleotide ribosomal RNA is filed under the name uncultured bacterium. RNAcentral describes it as "partial 16S ribosomal RNA". It matches the Rfam family "Bacterial small subunit ribosomal RNA", at positions 28 to 523 of the family's 1533-position model. The record is from RNAcentral.